AUGCUCCUUUGUUGUGUUAAGUGUUGGCAGACAUCUGAACCCCGCCCUAGCGGUUCAGACCCUUAAACUCCGAACUUCUCCCUCCCCAUAUGAAGCUCGGAGUUUUUUUUGCCUAAAG
Pseudomonas sp. M30-35 is the source of this 118-nucleotide small RNA. It matches the Rfam family "Pseudomon-1/ErsA RNA". From Rfam's summary of the family: Functions to regulate the AlgC enzyme. Based on this information, the new name ErsA for the RNA was adopted. The record is from Rfam. Lineage: Bacteria; Pseudomonadati; Pseudomonadota; Gammaproteobacteria; Pseudomonadales; Pseudomonadaceae.